This 42141-nucleotide long non-coding RNA is filed under the name Citrus x clementina. Its description in RNAcentral is "Citrus clementina (C. clementina) long non-coding RNA (CCLE_LNC003533)". The record is from RNAcentral. Lineage: Eukaryota; Viridiplantae; Streptophyta; Magnoliopsida; Sapindales; Rutaceae.
CAGAAACUUUAAAAAAUGACCAUUUUACCCUCCAAAACGAAAGUUAUAAUUCCACCCUAAAAAUUACCAAAAAUUAGAUUAAUUCCACAACCAUCAAAUGCAGGAUUUUUUUUUUUAAAUAUAUCUGUAAUUAGAAUGCUAAAUUAUAACAAUAGUAUUAAAAAUAGUCAAAUCUCGCAAACCAUCAAUUGAAUUUAAGAUAAGUAGAGUUUUAUUAUUCAUUGAGUUAUAAUCUCUAGUAGUUAAGAUUUUUUUAUACUUUAUUAAUGUACCAAUAAUGAUAUUCAUCAUUAAAUCUUAUUAUUUUUGACAUUUUUAAGGUAAAAUUAUAAUUUUCAUUUUGGGGGUAAAAUGAUUAUUUUUUAAAGUUUCUGUUAGUUUUCUUAACGAAUUCCAAACAAAGAUGAAAAAGUUAAAUAAAAUAUAACUUUAGGUAGAUUCCAGCAAAAAAAAAAAUUGUGUAUUUUAAAAAAAUUAGAAAAAAAAAACAGGUGGACAGUGGAUAUUUUCUCUAUAUAAAAUAAAGUAGUGAGGUGACAGAAUGUUAGAUAUGUACAAAAGUAUCUCACUGUUACAUUCUACGUUUUACAUAUGGUAUCUAUUUGAACAUACUAAAAAAAGAUGUAUGUACUAAUUAAGGUGAUAAUUCCUUUUAGCAAGAUUAUAAAAUUUUCUAAUUAGUCAACAUCGCAAGGAUGCAGUGACACAUUUGUUUGUAUAACAAAUAAUUAAUACAUCAGCAUAUAAGAUCGAGCGAUUGGAUCUCAAGAAUUCCAGAACGAAAAGUACCAAGCGAUAGUUAAUAUUCUAAAGAGCGGAUGCCGACAAAGGAUGAUCCAGCUCCAUUGCUGUUUGUCCGACCACAUAAGAAAGUGCGUUGAUCCACCAUGUGAUCUGUUCUUGUACAUUAUCAUAUAUGUAUACGUACAUUUCAGUUAGCCAAUGAAUGGCUGUGAUGGCCUUAUCCAUCACACACAUGUUAUUUCAAUAAGCCAAUGAAUGGCUGUGAUGACCUUAUCCAUCAGACACACAGUUGUCCACAAUAACCAUGUAUUUUAAAUACAAACUUUGUAUUUCUUUCAUCACUGACGAUUGAGGUGAUCGCUGAGUCAUCCAGCUCAAAUGAACCAGGCAUCAAUAUGUACGUACCUGUUUUUUUUUAUUCUUAAUUUGUCAAAAUCAUGAAAAUCUUGCUAUGAAUAGAUCGCGUUACCCGAUUUUAACAUGUUAACCCUUUGCACGUCGUGUAGGCCACAUCAUUUAACACUCAAGACAAAUACAACCCCACUACAAAAAGAAUUAUUUACUAUUAUUAUUAUUAUUUUAUUUUUUUAUAUCCUUUUCUUUUUUCUUUUUUCUUUUUUUUUUUUAAAAAAGAAACGUAUCCAAAUAAUUGUUGGUCCGUAGCAUAUUUGCACAUUUCAAUAAGCUCUGGCCACACUGAAGGCCUCCCCCUUCACCGUUUGCAACCACUCAAAAUAAAAUUCUGUUUUAUCAAAAUGGCGGCUUCAUCACAUAUCCAGCUUCUCUGGACCAUUAAUAAUAUUUCCUCUCUUAAUUUAGUAAUUGCUUUUCACAUUUUUGCAGCACACCUUUGUCAUGUAUGGAAGACCCCCACCUCUUCCGACCCCUCUUGGCCCCGACUGCCACCACCUCCUCCUCCUCCGCCGACGCCGCCGGCACCGCCUGUGCCGAUGAAAACGAUGCCGAUUACCACAGCAUCAACCAUUUGUCUUCAAACACUUCCAUUACCUUCCGGCUACUUGCAGUCAUUGUCCUAGGAGUAAUCUCCAUAUGGGCAAACCAUGAAGCAUCAAAAGGCUUCGAUAUAACAAUCAUCAAUGAAGCUAAAGACUCUCCGGCGGGCAGACGCUUCGAGCUCUUCUACAUAUCAAACGACAAGGCCACAAGAAUACUCCUCAACACAAGCUCCUUCGCCGAAAACAUUCUUUAUCCCAAUACCAAUUUUUCCCUGGACAGCAAGAAGCAAGUUCAGCAUGUCACUCUCCGGCUCACCACGAACACGACACAGAGAAUAUUGGUCGCCGUGGACACAACCAAUGAAAGCAAUGAUGAUUUUGUGAUUAGUCUAAGUUCAUCAGUAAUGAGCGAUACUAAUAUUGCUAAUGCCAACCACGCAAUUGUCUCGGCGUUGCAACGUGGCAUGGCUAGGAUAUGGCUCUGGGACGGCCAGUCUAGGGCUCCCCCGUCGCUGAUACAAGGCUUGGUUGAGUACAUAAGCAUGUUAGCUGGAUUUGGGGAUGCCAAAAAUUACGUGGGUGGUGAGUUGCCAGAAUUUGGUCACAUUUGUUGGGACAGUAAGGACGCUGGAGUUACGGCAAGAUUCUUGGAAUUUUGUGAGGUGAAUCAUAAGGGUUUCAUCCAACGGCUUAACCAAGGUAUGAGGCAGAGAUGGGAUAAUCGGACGGUGGAUGAUGCGUUAGGGAUGGAAGCUAAGUAUUUAUGUGAUUCUUAUAAAAUGUUAUCAUAAUUUUUUUUUCCACUUUUAAAUAAAUUGAAUGAUAGAUUCAGCUUCCAAGUUGCAUUCGGUGCUCUUGAUAAAAACAUGUAGACAUAACACAUACAUUAAUUUUUGGGGACAGGUUCUUUUAUUUUGAGCUGGCAAUAUGUGGGACAUUUUGCUCUGUCCACGUGACAAUUUUUUUAAAGGGUAAGUAGGAAGAGAUAAGAAGUUUUGUACAGUAUUUUAGAUUAGACCAUGUUCUCUGAAUCUCUGGUGAUAUGAUGAUUACAUGCAUGAUUUAUGCUAAAAAUAUAUUGUCAACACUUUUGGUGAUUGAUAUUUUUUUUUUCUUUUACCAUAAUAUCACCCACUAAUCUUAUAUACAUUUUGUAAAAUAUGAUAGAUAAUUCUAUAAACUGUGUAUUUGAGUCCAUAUGUAUUUUAUAAAAUAUGAUAGAUAGUUCCCCACAUCUGUUGAAAAACUUAUGUUGGGCGGUGAAGGAACAAUAGAUUUCAUAUGGAACCCGAAGUAGCUAGGUUUUAUAUUGAGAACCACAAAAAUUUAAUAUAAAUAAAUGGUGAGUUUCUUAGUGGGAAUCACUUAUCUUGACAAAAUUUUAAUGAUUAGUCCUUCCACCUUAGCCUGCUGAGGUGGUAGGAUCGCUCAUACGAUUCUUUCUCGCAUUAUAGAGCUAAUGAGUUUCAAUGAGUUAUGUCUGCGUGCCAAAGUGUCUUUUGCAUUACGACUAGUACUGCUUGAAGCUUAGAAAGUUCAAAAGUCGAAGGAGAAAUCUGCCAUUUGAAAACAUGAAGGAUUUGGAUCAACUUCAAGUGCGAGUACUCAACGAAGAUUCAAGAACAUGCAUGCUCUAAGUUCAUCAAGGAUAAAAUUAAUGCUCACCGACAAGACAAAUAAGUCCGGUCGUCCUCUGAAAACGACAAGCACCAUGAAGCCGUUGAAUAAGAUAAAUUAUAGUUAUGCCUUUGGAUUAACAAUCACUUUCGACCCAAAGAUUAUCAAUAACCUCAGUAGAGUUUAAUUGCCCACACCUUCUUCUUUCGAUGCGAAUUUAGUUUGUGUCUAUAUAUAUAAAAUCUUCAAUUCAAGAUUUUAAAAUGUAAAAAAAUUUAAAAUCGUGUGAUUUUAAAGUUUAAUUUUAUAAUAAUAAUAAUAAUAUUAAAGGAUAUGAUUUUAAAAUUUUCUUAAACUUUAUCGGAAUUUCAAGUCAGAAAACUGUUAUAAUACAUACAUGAACUAAAGGAAAUGAGAGGAGGCAAAAAACAUAUGGAAAAAGGUGAGACAUAAUAGAUCGCAGGAGAUGCAAAAAUCAAAUCAUUGAAAACAGGAGGAGCCUACAAAACCAGUGGUAUUUAUAAAUCAUGGGGUUGCCUUGCCUGCCUCUCUUCAACAACUCACAGAGAAUUGGUUUUCAUCGCAAGAGACCCCUCAAUUUGCAUUUAUCUCAACAUUAAAUUCAGUUGCAAGCAGGAAUUUCUAACCGUCCAUGACAGCUUGCAUGAUAUAUACUUAUAGCAUGCAUGCUGCACGUAUCUCAAGGCAAUUUUAAAACAAAAAACUGUAAUUUAAAACUUCUUUUUAAUUUUUCUCUCUUUCUCUCUUUCAUUCUUUUGUUUUGGAUAAUGGGGGUCUGUGCUUCGUGAGUGAUCAGUACCCAAAAAAUUAAAGGAGAUAGAAUGAAAUCAUUAACUGAAGCCAACUCCAUCGCUCUCUAACUGAAGCAAAACUCAAGAUAUUAAUGUCUUCAUAACCUAUUUAUUUUCUUGAAUCAAUUUCAGAUAUAUAUAUAUAUAUUAAUGUCUCAAUCUUAUCCGCUAAAUGUAGAUGGAAACAUUUGAACGUAAGUGUAAACAAUAGUGAUUUGAAUACAACAUUUGAUUUUUUUAGUUGAAGUCAAGACUCGAGGCUUGGGAAAAUCGCAUCUUACCAUUAGAGUGAGACCACCUUAGCUCGAAUAUAAAAUUUAUACCUAAAAUAACUGGAAAUCAUACAUAUGUCAUUCUGCAAUAAGAAUUGUAACAUAUAACAUUUAAAUUAAUUAACCACAACUAAUGGCGACCUCUAACGUAUUACAAGGACCUUAUAGGGAAAAGAAUUAUUGCUGCUUCAAAAGACCGAAAUUUCAUGAUAUGGGAUGGGUAGGUUAAGUAGCUAGGUUUUUGGUCGCUGGUCACCAUUGACAAACCCUUCAUUUCCAGCUAACAUCAAGUACUUGUCCCUUCUUGUAAGAUUAGUGCACUCAAACCCUAAUGCAUCAGCCAGCUGCCUUUGUAUGUGAUUUGCCACCUCAUGACUUGAUCUCCCUCCUGAACAUGUGAGCUCUUUGGGCAAUUUCCCAAGUAUCUGAAUAUGGUAGCUUGGUCUAGGGUUCAUCAAAAAGAAAAUGGGAUCCAAGCAUUUUAGUCCACUGGCGGUGGUCCCAUAGAACAUGCUCACAUGUGUGUUCAUUGCCACAGGGACUAUGUCAUCAGCUAGCUCAGCAAACAAUGAGCUAAACCUCAACAAAUAGGGCUCCCUGCAUGUGGUUCCUUCCGGGCAAACAACCAAGUCACCUUCACUUAGCAAUUUUCGCAUGGUGUCUCCAUCUUUCUUUCUGUCUCUUGUCAAUCUGACGGUUCUGAUUGGGGCUAUAAUCUCAGACAUUUUGCUUAGGCUAUAUGUGACUGCAGUCAAAGGCUUAGCUAAGGAUUUGCUGAGGAAAACAGGGUCCAAAAGUGUUCUAUGUGAGCAAACGUAGAGGACCCCUUUUGAAUAACUUGAUGAUGAUGGGCUUUGGCCUUUAAGUCUUAUCUCUAUACCACUCAUUGCGACCAAUAAGAUGGCUAGUUUGCAUGGAAGCAUGAUGCCCACAAAGAGUCUGAAAAUGGCUAGAAUGAUUCCAACUGGUAGCCACAUGAACAUUGAAAGAGUUGCCAAUGGAGUGGGCAAGAAAGCUAGCCUUCCAUCAUGAAAUAUGAGAGGCUUUGGAUAUUUGUUCCUUGGCAUUAUAGAAUUUGCACUGCUUUUACUCUCUUCCUUGUUCACCACAUAAGCUUCCUAUAAUAAUAUUGAUUAGUCAGCUUAAAUACAAUUAUGUUGUACACAAGUAAUUAAUCUGUUUACUAAUCAUAACUCAAAUGGGAAAAUUUCUAAAUGAAGAUCUAAGGUAUAUUGAAGCCAAACCGGAAUUGGCAGGAUGGUGGUUACCCAAAAUUGUAAAAAGAAAAUGAAUAAUGGUUUUUCUAUAAAUAUGACAAAAUUUCUCAAAAUUGCUCUAUGGGCUUCAAAAAUAAAUUGCCAAUAUAAGGAAAAAGAAUAAUUACCUUGCACUGAGAGAUGAAGAGUUGGUCAUGGAAACUUGAACUUCCGAGGCCAAGUUCAGGCUUCUGGUCACCAAAAUAAUUGAUAAGAGCUGUGUGUUUUACAAGCAAACCAGAGCCACAAACUAAACCAGUAAAAUAUUGACCAGAAGUUUGCAAUUCAGUCCCUACAACACCAUCAACUCUCAAAUAUUCUUUCAAGAAUCCCUCGACCAUGACUCUAGGAACACUUGUGAACACAAAUCUAGACCCAGCUGAGGCUAAAACUUCAUAGACUUCAGCAUUGAGAUUCUCAAGGUAGAAUUUAGGCAAAACCGCCCUACUCACAUUCUCCAAGUCCUUCGUUUUAAGCCCACAAAAGGUUAUGAAAAUCAUGACUCUUAGUUUACACUCAUAGUCCAAGACCCACAAGAAAAGACAAGACAAAAGCAAACAAAAUGCUCGCAAAAUGCCGCCACCUUCAAAGGCAACAAGCAUGAAAUAAGGGAAAAAAGAUUGGGACCUUAACAAAACUCCAUGCAUGUCACAAACCACAGUGUCAAAGCCUUUAUUUUCUAAAUCACACUUUGUAACACUAGGAAAAAGAGGAUUUUGAUGUGACUGUGACUGUUGGGAUGAUUUGCCAUAUGGGUUCCUUAAAAGGAAACCAUAGCUUCUCAUCUUUUUUGCAGCUUUGUAGCACGAAUUUGCCAGAAUCUUGUACCAGAGCAAGUCUGCUACUAGCCUCAGUACUACAUUAGGAAGCACCAUGGCUAAUGUUUUUGCUUUUGCUUCUACUUAUGCAACGAUGUCAAGAGACAAAACACAAGAGAAAAGAAGAUAAAUUCUGCUUAGGAGCUUUGUGGAGAACUGAAGAAGGUGCAAGAGAAGCAGAAAAUAUUUAUAAGACUCUGAUUACAAGGCAGUCUAGUGGCAAGUUGACCAAUGCGUUUGGUUAGCCACACACCGCUGGCAUUAAUUACACUGUCAAAAACUUUUCUUUUCUCCCCCUUGUUUUCGUUAAUUCUUUCGUAUUAUUCAAACAAGAAGCGCGAUAUGAACAUGCACAUGAGCACAUCCACACAUGACGCUACAGAGUUUUAUUUUUUCUUAGCUUAGCAACGUUUUUUAGUUAGGUGGGAUUGUUGGUGACCGCCAUUAAAAGUUUUCAUCCUUUGGUCAUUGUUUCGAAAUUUUUUUUUUCUUUUUCACACUCCUCAACAAUUUUCAUUUUAGGCAUUGGAAUGUGUACACAACUUUUUUGGGAUAUCAAUUUUUCAAUCCAAAGGACCAGUCCCAAGUUAGAUAGCCCAUACCAUCCGAAAAUUUUUGACUUUUUUUCUUUUAAACAAUAUUUUAAAAUUGUUAUAUACCGGUCAAAAUCGUAUCAGCAAAAUUACGGCUGCUAUUUAGGUGAUUGACUUUGUUUCGCUAUGAACAUGCCAUGUGUUGACUUCAAUGUAUUGUCAUCUCAUAUUUCGCUAAUUAAGAUCCCAAUUAGUUGGUAGUUGUCUAAGGACGAUCGAGAGAUGCUUUUAGUUGCUAUAAAAGCAAAGAAUUCCGACGGACGUGAUGUGGUAUUAUUGCUAAAAAGGAACAUAGGAUAGUAUAUAUUAUUUUGAACCAAAGAAAUUAAUCAAUGAAAUUGCAUGUUCUUGAAUAUAAUUUUACGUUUUGUUGAUUUGGUAGUUGAGAUCAUGCAAGUCUCGCUGAGGGUUUGGUUUGGUGAACAUUCAAUCAUUUGAUAUUACUGUUAGAUUAUCACGCAUAGUGUCUGCGUGAAACAUUAGAGGAUUCAAAUAUUUAUAUGAUUUAUAGUUUACAGUGCAUGAUCAUGCAGUAAUGUUACUAUUCUAAAGUAAUGAUAUGUGAAAUAUGUCAUCUAAUGCCAGAAAAUCGUUAGUUGAAUCAUGCAAUGUAUGCGCAAGCUAGGCAUGCAUUUAGUUUCCCAUGGUAUUUUGUCCAGUGUCGUGGCAUUACAAAUAAUUUUGCAAAGCUUUAACUUUCUGCCUCGCCCACCUGUUGAACAAAACAUAACACUUAUAAAUGGAGGUGGGGGAAAACAAUUAAAGUUGCACGACUCUUAGCCGGUGUGGAUUCAUUCUCUUUAGGGUUUUGAUUUUUCUAAAUCUUAUUAGGGGUAUACCAUAUAUUUGCAAUAAUACAUGUUCAAGCAAAUAAUAGGCACAUCUCUGAACUGCACUAUAUCUUUUUUAAUUUUGUUGAUCCUUUUACUAAAACAAAAUUUCAUGUAAUAAAGCUUUGACUUAGUGGUAGAUUUUUGCUCUCAACAAGGUUUGUGUGACUGAAAAUAUAUAUUUAUCUCAAAUAUUAAUAAGGGCAUAAUUUCAAGCUAGUCUCAAUAGACCUUUGGGUUAUUUUAUGAAUUUAUUUAUGUGUUUAGUUAUUAGUAAUUUUUUUUUUUUUGUAAUGUCAAUAGAUUAAUCAAUCCAAAAAAAAAAAAAGUUUGUGCUGGGUAUAUAUGACGAUUCAUAUUACAUUUACUGACUUUUAAGGGUUUGACUACUGUAUCCUAAAGGUUCUACCAUACAGUCUAGAUAAAAUCCAAUGGAUAAAGAAUUAACAUAAUAAAAUAUGAUGGUAUUGAAGUAUAGGGGGGUACAAUAGUUAGGGAUAGCAAAAUUACUUGCCAACUCACAAACCCACUCACUACGGGUAAUCUUGCAAGUUGCGGGCAGGUUUGGUAUUUCAAACUAAAAUCCACUGUAAAUUACAAGUGAGUUUGGUAUUGAGAUAAAAAAAUUUAUCGGACACCCGCAUAAAUAUCCGCCAAUCCGUAUUCUUUAUUUUAAUUAUUUAUAUUUUUAAUUUUAAUAACAAAAAUUACGUUAAAAAAUUUAAUCAUAUAUAUAUAUAUAUAAGUUAAAGUUCUUAAUUCCUAAAUUUAACAUUUCUUAUCGCUAUAGACACACACACACACACAAAAGCUUUUAAUGACUAGAAAUUUAUAAUUUUCAAGUUUAAUAUUACUAAUAUUUUAUUUUAAUUGAUUGAUUUUGUUUGUUUUAUUUCAAUGACUUGAACCUAAUGAUUACUUGGUAAAGUUGUGUUUUAAUUUCUUUAAUAAAUUGUUAACAUUAGUUGUACAAAAUUUACUUGUUAAUAUUGUUGAUAAUACUUGUAUAUUGAUUAAAAGAUAGAGUAAUACAUUGAUCAAUAAUUAGUGAUGAUGAUUUGUCUACAACAUAAAUAAUUUGUGUUAGAUUAAUAUAUUUUGUGUAUUUAUUUUAAUGUUGAAAUUUUAAUUUCUUAUUAUAUUGAUCAAAUUUAGAAUUGAGUAUCGUAUGUCUAUUUUUUUAGCUAUUGUUAUAAGUUUAUAUUUUGAAUUAUAUAAUUUAUUUUUUUAUGUAUUAUUAAAAGUAUUUUUUAAUAUUUGUGAUUUUAAAUGAUAAAAUCAAAAAAAAAAUUCAGUCUGUGGAAUACUAGUGGGUAUGGUAAUUGAUAAAACCCGCAACAGAUAGAUUUUAUUAAAAAAUAAAAAUAUAAAUCUACUACAAGUUGUAGGUGUGUUUGAUAAUUUAAAUUUUUUUGUGGGUGUAAAUUUAGUAACGAUAAUCAUUUAAUUUACAAACAAAUUUUGCUUUUCUCUAUAGACUGGAGAAGAGUACAUCUAUUUAAAAAAAAAAAAAGAAAAAAAAACAUUGAAGUUGAUUGAAUACCGUCCAUGGAUUAGUUGAAUAGCACUGUACAAGUUGGCGGUGAGACCGUGAGACCAGCAUAAUUAAUUUGCUUUUCAAAUACCAUGUACAUAGAAUAGGCUAACCAAACCUAUCUCAUACUAUUCUGAAAAUUUGUCAUUUACUUACUGAGUAGUGGAUCUAUCAAUCAUCACACCUCCAAUUCCCUUUUUUUUUAAAAAAAAAAAAAAUACUCCUUUUCUAAUUUCUACCACACCCCCAAAAUUAAAUGAACGAAUGCAAAAUAAUUUUGAAACCCAAUUUAACUAAAAAAUCAACUCUAUUCUUCUUCUUCUCCAAAAAAAAAAAAAGAAAAAAAAAACUCUCCUUCUCUCUCUUGCUUUAAUUUGUCUGUUAUGAAAUUUGAAAUCUUAACAAAAAGAAAGAAAAAAUAAUAAAUUUAUAUCUCUCUUUCUAUUGAUUUUCUCAUGUCAGUUAACAAGCCCAAAUUUUCAAUUAUGAUUUUUUUUCAAGAAAUUAGAAGGAUGCCAAUAGUUCCACUCUACAACACUUAAAUAUUUAAACAUUUAAUUGUUUUCCCCACCCCCAUUUUAUCGGUGUUAUGUUUUCUUCAUUAGGUGGCCGAGUGGGGAAAGGUAAAGCUAAGAUUGUAAUUGCUAACAGUUGGCAUAUUCCACUAUUUCAUUGGAUGGCAUGCACAGCUCAAUCUUUAAUUAAUGGCGGCAUCUCUUGUAGAAUCUUUGUUGAGAUUUGGCAUCAAUAAAUUGGAAAAUAAUUGUUCUAAAAUGGCGCUUGGGAAAAAGUAUAUUACGCCACCUUUCCGAGAAAAAUUGAGAACAUGCAUGAGAUAGAAUAUGGAUGAAAAGAAUAGAAAAAAAAAAAAUCAACAUCGAAUUUUUAUCAUGAGCCUAACAUUCUGAAAAAUAUGCUUGGGACUCUUAUAGGAUGCUCCAUUUCUAAAUAGCUCACAUCAUGGCCGCCUUCACCAUACGUAUAAGUUUUAGCACCAGCGAUUAAGUUAUUAAGUUACAUUAUUUUUUAAGUAAUUUUUUAUAAUUCUUUAAUUAUUCGACGGAAAACAAUAAAAUUAUAAAAAAAAAAAUUAUUUAUGAGUUGAUGUAAAUUAAUUUUUAAAAAAUUGCGGUCUACGCAUUUAUUAUCGACCUAUGUUUAUGUUCUCUCCGUUGAAGAAAGAAACGGGCAUGGAAAAUGCUUGUAAUCAUUUAAAUAUGAUAAACAUUAACCACCAUGUCCACAUUUAAAUAUUGUCAAGGACAUGAUGCAUAUAAACAAAAAUUAAUAAUAAAAAUUUAACACAAUCAAUUAGAAUUUUUUUUAAUUAGCAAAAUUAAUUAGAAUAAACCCCUCCUCUAAAGUGUUUUUCCAAUUUUAGCUUUUCAGGAAGGCAUAUGUAAACAUAUUUAAAUUUAAAUUGAUUUAAAAGGGUUCUCUUUUUCCCCAAAAAGAAAAAAUUACAUUAUUACAAUAAAUAAAAAAUAAUUUAAAAACAUAGUUAUAGAAUGCAUUAGAAAUCCAAUCCAACAUCUGCCAUAACUUACUUCGAUUACACUAAAUAAUGGGUUGCAUUUGAAUGGGAUUAUUUCAUGAACUUUGGUACGGAAAAAAAAUUAUAUGAAUAAACUUUGGAGUGGAGUUUGGAAGAAGAAAAGAAAUUAUGGACUCUUGAAUAAUGUUGAAAAAUCUACGAAUGUUCAAACUUUGAAGUCAAAUGUCAGUCAAACGAGUUCAAGUUUCUAACCCGGGCGUCGCGCUUACGCACAACUGAGUUAUUAAAAAAAAAAAAAAAAGUAUAAAAUGCGGAGGCGUUCUCUCUGAAACCCUCACUCAAUUCAUUCAUUCUCGCCACUGCACAAAAAAGAAUGGAGGACAAAAGAGAAGUAAAGGCAAAGAAGUCACAGAAGAAGCAAGUUCAUUUGUUCUAUUGUGUGGAGUGCGAAGAGCUUGCGCGCAAAGUCGCAGCUCAAUCCGACCUCAUUACUCUCCAGUCCAUUAACUGGAGGUUUUUAAUUCUGAAUUCUCUCUUUUCUCUGUUUCUAUCAACUUAUGUGUGUGUGUGUGUUUUUUUUUUUCAAUUUUCUUUGUGUUUCUCUUGCUUUGUUUAGCUUCUCUGCCAUGAAUUUGAUGUGGGGUUUUUUUAAUUUUCUCUUUUCUCUUGGCGAUUGCUGCUUCACUUGUGAGAUUUUUUUUAUUAUUUAAUAAAGAAAAAAAGGAAUUGUUAAUUCAUCCUAGUUGAAGUUGUGUUUAAGUUUUGAUACAGAGGAAUUUUGUAGUGUUAUGAUCGAUGGUUUAUUUCUCAUAAAACUCACCCAACACAAUUAUUGUAUUUGUGAUUUCAGCUCAUAACAUAUCCACCGCAUAGCAUAGAAAAAUCAAUUGUCAGUUUUGUCUUUCGAUAGGGGCUUUGCAGCUCUCUUAGGAAAUAUGGAGACUAAACCAUGUUUGAAAAAUCCCAAAAUUUUCAAGAAUUUUUUUUUUUUUUAAUGAUUUCAUAGCAUGCGCUGUAAGUGCAUUGUAUAGCUGUGGUGUUGACCAACGUGAAUGUUUUUGUGUUUGAGUUAGAAUGGUAAUUUUCUGUGCUAUGGAUGUAUCAGGAACUUUGCUGACGGGUGGCCAAAUCUUUAUAUAAAUAGUGCACAUGAUAUUCGAGGUCAGCAUGUGGCCUUUCUUGCGUCUUUCAGCUCCCCGGGAGUCAUCUUUGAACAGAUUUCUGUCAUAUAUGCACUCCCGAGGCUGUUUGUUGCUUCCUUCACGCUGGUAUUGCCUUUCUUUCCAACUGGCUCCUUUGAGCGAAUGGAAGAAGAAGGGGAUGUAGCAACUGCAUUUACCAUGGCGAGGAUAUUGUCAAAUAUUCCCACUUCAAGAGGUGGCCCGACUAGUUUAGUCAUCUAUGACAUACAUGCUUUGCAGGUUAAACUACAUGCAAUCAGAACUAUUAAACUAUGUUCUGAUUUUUGCUAUGAUAUGUCCUUUCUAUGUUUGGAUCGGUUGUUUUUCUUUACCGAAGUUUCUGCUAACUUAAACAUUUAGGGUAUUAUACACCAAUAUGAUGUUGCAGAGUAUCUAGUUGUAGAUUCUUCAGCUCAAUGUUUCCUUGUACUCAUUGGCCAUCCAAAGUGUUUUUGACGGGGAGUAGACAGUCUGAAGGCACUUUACAUUGAUUGCACAUGGCUUGAAUCCUCUUAUUCAUGAAUAAAUUGUGUAGAUUUGUGAAUGAUCAUUUUUCUUUACUUGUUUGCCUUCUUGACACUUGUGAUGAAUAAGCUCGUUAACAUUAAAAAUGUCCAUAUCUAUCUUCAACAACUUUUACCUUUGAAAGAUGGCUCUGUUUAUCCAUGACAUGUUUUCUUAAGUACCAGCUGCAUGUUUGUUUUUAGAAGGCCUUAUUUUUAUUUGCCAGUUCUCCUUGUGUAGGAAAGAUUUUAUUUCAGUGACCAUGUCUUGCCUCUGUUUGAGACGGGGAUUCCUCUGUUAAAGCAACGUCUGCACCAGCUCCCUGAUGCCAAUAAUGUGAGUACACAGAAAACAUAGUCGCCUGUUCUUGUACACUAUAUUGUUAUUCUAUGAGUAAUGUUUCUGAUCAUUCUUCUUAUUAUUGAGGCAUUAUCAUUGUCUGCAUAUUGAUAUUGUUGUUUUAUUAGAGACUUCACUGAAGGCUUUUGCACUGCACUGUCACUACUAUAUUUGCUAGCCCAUAAUCUCUCCAAUUUACUUUCAGAUAGUUAUUGCAUUUCCGGAUGAUGGAGCCUGGAAGCGGUUCCACAAGAUGCUGGAUCAUUUCCCUACGGUUGGUUUUAAUUCUUCAAUGAAUUUAAAUAAAUGAUUUCCCUCUUCCAAGGUUAUAAGUUAAUAAAACUUCUACUCUAGUUAUUGUAUAAUCUGGAUAAGCUGAUCCUGUUGAGUGGCAGGUGGUGUGUGCCAAGGUUCGUGAAGGUGAUAAGAGGAUAGUUAGGAUCAAGGAGGGAAAUCCUGCUGGUUAUCAUGUGGUCAUUGUUGAUGAUUUGGUGCAAUCCGGAGGCACUCUCAUUGAGUGCCAGGUAUUAUCUUACCUUCCACCUGCUGUUCUUUUAAAAAUUUGUGUUUCAGAGUUUGAAUGGGUUCUGACCUUCUGAUUUUUAAAAACUUGAUUCUUUGAAUAAAUAAUUAUUCCAACCCAAAAAAAAAAAAGAAAGAUUUUUGUGGAGUCAGUACUCAAACAUCUUCAAUAAGCAUAUAUUAUUCAUCUAAGUUCUUGGCCUUUUGGGCAAAAGUCCUUUCACAUUUAUAACUUUUUGUCUACAGUUUUCCAAAUUUAUUACAAACUUUUUUUGUUCAUCAGAUAUAUUGACUUCACACCAAUCUGUAAAACAAAAAUCAUUGAUUAUGAAUUUUUUGUACAUUAAUAUCUCCUGUACCUUAGAAUUUGCCAAUAUGGGCCUUUCUUGGAUAAUUAUUUUGUGGUGCAAGUUGAACUUAAGUUGGACAAGUCUAUGGAACCAAAUUGCAGAUCAGUUAGAUCAAGCUUUCUGAAAUUUAGCAAAAUAGUAGUGGUUACACUGUUCAAAUCUGGUAGGGAUAUGCCUUCCAUUUUUCUCUUUAAGCUUCCAGGGCUUUCAGUAUCAACUGCUGGUGGGGUAGUUUAUACUUUAUCUUUAUCCUGGCUUUGUAUUUUCUUGCAUGCCUUUCAUUUUUCUAAUGAUUAUUGGGUGUUACUGCAGUUCACUUUCUGAAAUAGAAAGAAAGAACAACCAAAGAAAAGAAUUUUUAAUCUUCUUUUUGCGUGGUGAAAGUGGAGAGACUGAAAAGAAGAAAAUAAAUUUUGAUGUUCUGUUGUUCGCUCAAUUUAAAUUAUCUACAAACUGCAAACAUGGAUCCUUAACUGACCACUACUCAAGUAUAAAUUGACAUUUCUGGCAAUUACUCAAUUUCUUCGCUAUGUCUUGUUUUGUUUGAAAAUGGCAUCUGGAUAAAUUCACGAUAUAGGACCUUUGCUGUGUUUCUUCGGACUUAAAAAUGAGGAGCACAUAGCACGUGCAUCGAAAUUCAAGAAGUCUUGUCAUAAUAUGGGUGGUUAAUGUAAUUUUAUUUGGUAUAAAUUUGAAAGCUCAAAUAGUUCCCUCAUUAGUUAUGUCAUAAUAUGGGACCUUUGCUGCAUUUCUUCAGAUUUAAAAAUGAGGAGCACACAGCACGUGCAUCGAAAUUCAAGAAGUCUUUUCAUAAUAUGGGUGGCUAAUGUAGUUUUCUUCUCGUUAUGGUUUCAGAAAGUUCUGGCAGCUCAUGGUGCAGCGAAGGUGAGCGCUUAUGUCACGCAUGGUGUGUUUCCAAAAGGCUCUUGGGAGCGAUUCACUCUCAAGAACGGCGGUAAUUACCUGUAUUCUCUCAACCAUAUUAUCUCUUCAACUUCAGUGUUCUUAUUGCAUAUAAUUUUCAGAAAACAUGGAGAAUGCUUUUGCCAACUUUUGGAUCACGGAUUCGUGCCCGCUCACUGUCAAAGCCAUAGCAAAUAAGGCUCCUUUUGAAGUUUUGAGCCUGGCAGGAUCGAUUGCUGAUGCUCUACAAAUCUGAUGGAUUUUGUUGGCAAUGUAACUUCAUGAGUACUGCAAUUUUCUUAUAGGCUAGUUUUAUUAUUGAUAUGAUAUGUAUCACAAGACUUGUGUGAAAUCCCAACUUCUGUGGGGGGAAAAAAUAAACAAAUAAAUAAAAAUUAAAUUAAAGUAAAAAAUAUAUAUAUAUCAUUGCCUUUCCAAUGAACCUUUUUGUUUAUCAGUCUUCAGUUAUAGCACUUGCCUUCGUCGCUGGCAGAAUGACUUACAUGUUUCACACCGUGAAUAUCAAAACUGCCGCACCAGUUUCAGAAUUUUUAAGCAAACGAAUAGAAAACAAAUUCAAUCACCAUUGUUGGUUCGCAUGAGAAAUAUAAUAUGUUUACGGACAUUCAAUACAGUAACGUUUUAGAGUAAAUAGAACAUCUGUACAACCAUUAAUCUCAUUAUGAUGAACCGAUCCAGUGUCUGAUUAUUCUCGCUAUACAAUUAAGUAAUAGACCUCCCACAAUAUUUACGGACAUAAACAUGCAAAUUUGACCCAACAAAAGAACUUUGAAAGAUUAUAAUAUAAGAGAGAUCAUCGUGGAAUGCGCAUAUGGCUGCAAAGACUUUUUCACUUCUCAGUAAUAUGCUGCUCCAAACUUAUUCUUCUCAUCCGGUUCAAUAACAAUUUGCUGCUCUAAAUGUUAACAAAAUGCUCUCUGCCACUUCACUCAGAAGCUCCCUAGUGAAUAUAUGUGGAGUGUCCAUAACUGAAAAGAGGACACCGACCACGAUGCAUGCAUAAUAUACACUUGUACCUUGGUUUCUCUUCCAACUUUGUACACUUAAAUACCUAUACAACAGUCAGCACUCCAAGCCACCAUAUCUUAAGGCCAAGAGUAAAAUUUCCAAUUUACUGUUAAAUCUUCUCUGGCUUCUCAUCCGGGUAGCCAUUUAAGCUUUCCAAGGAGUCCCCAGAAUAUGACCCAUCUGGCUGACGUAUAAAUAUGUUCAAAUUGCUGGAAAGUAAAGCUUCCUGGAAGAUCCACAAAAGCAUAAAAACAGUUAGCAAAGACUAAACUGAGUCCAUACAAUAUCUUCAACGGAAUCACACAUAUGGUAAACUUUAUUUGGACUCUGAUCAGCUCAUAUGCAUGUUCUGCUUGUAUUAUAUCAAUCUAAUCUCUCCCCUAGGGGUACCUUGGGGUGUCACAUUUCCACUUAACCCCACCCCCCCCACCAAAAAAAAAAAAAACAUAAUUGGGACUCUCUCUCCAUCCACUUUCCUUUUUCUCCUUAUAUUUGGGAUCACUACAUUCUGAUCUAUCUCCACCCAUUUAACCACAUACAUGGGAUGAACCUCUCAUCCCUUACAAUUUCCACUUUUAUCCUUAUGCCCCUUUUGUCGGACCACUUCAAAAUUGAAGAUAGAUAAGUUCAAACUGCAUAGUAUUAUCAUUUCUAUUCUUCAUCUUACUAAAAUUUGGCAGCUAAAAAUAAGUAUAGACCAUUAAAAGUUGAUAUGUUCAGGUGGCAAAUCCAAAUACAUUUUAUAUUUGACAAUUCAGUUAUGCAAUAAAACAAUGUCAACAAGUGGACAAAUAGGUAAAUCAAGAAUCACCUAAACAAUAGCAUAAUUUGUUUGACGAAUUUUCUUUACAAGAAUGAUAUUAAUUCAGACCAAUGACUGAAAAUCCUAUUGAAUGGUAAGAGUACUUGAUUAGAGAACAAUACAAAGACAAAUACCAGGGGAAAUUUCAACUCACUAGGCACUACAUUCUGUAGUUGCAGAAAAGAAAGAGAACUAAAUAAGGUACCUGAUCACUGGUUUCUUGGCCCUCAGAGUGGAAGACUAUUGGCCGGCAUCGUUUAUCUUCAUUCAUCAGGCUAGAAUUUUGAAAGUGUGUUACAAGGGCAGCCUGGCCCUGGAUUCGGGCAUAUGCCAAGGAUGCAACUUUCUCACUAUUGAAUUUCUCCCAUUUCUUCCCAUUAAAUGCCUGCAAAGAUUUCCAUCAUAUAAGUUCUUAGUUGAGUAAAUGGAUACCCAAGGUUCUUCACAUCAGCAAUAUAGAGUACAAAUCAGUUGCCUGACAAUCUGAUAUCUAACACAGGUAAUCUUCUAUUGGAUGGCCUUUAACAAUUUUACCAUUUAUGAAUAGAGAACCAACUUCUCCAGCUUUCAACGCACGAAUAAUAUAAAAGAAAAAGUGAAUUAAAAGUACGUGCAUCAACUUUGGAAACAGUGAGGAAGGGGUCGAACUCGUACCUCGUAAAAGGAAAUAAUGUGCGAAGGAGACACCAUGUUGAUAAAGGCAUACCCCACAUUGCACUUAUUCUGCAUACAAAUAGCUUAUCAGCAGCAAAUCAAUCAAAAAAUGUUAUAUAAUAACGAGAUUAUAGAAUUUCCCAAAGUUGAGGUACCUUAAAGUCAAUUGGCAAGUACAGAAAAUCAUAAGUACCCCUGUGAUUCUCAUCAAUGGCAGCCAGCAGCAUUUUUGAAGUAUACCUUAAAGGAAGACAAUAAAAGUAGAUAUUAUCAAUAAGCUAACCAUCUUCAUUUGAAACCAACAAGCACUGCAACAUUUUUAUAAGAAUAUUCAUAAAUUUUCUUACUUAUUAGGGAUGUUUUUGAUCAUUAAAGUAGUCCUAGUAUCCUCCCCACUAAUGAUUUUGUCCAAAUCAAGCUGAUACUGCUUUUUGCUAUCAACCUGGCUCCCACUAUUCUCAACUCGCCUGGUGCGACCACGUUCAGUAAACGCCUCAUUGCUAGUUAUUCCUAGUCCCGAGUAAGAACCAUUUCCAAAGAAGAGGGGACCAUGCCUUGGGAAUGACAUCAUUCUGAGACUAGGUGAACCAUUAUCAGUCACAUUUAACGGAAGGCCAACACCAACACGACCACCAACAUUCAUCAUAUAACCUGCAUUGUUACGACUUAGACCCAUACCCCCUAGCGGAACUGGGUUCGUAAAGGAUGUUUCUGGUGACUCAGGGAAAAAGCCGAAAUUCCUGUCAAGGGAAACACCAGAGGGAGCUGAUCCAACAUGAUGUUGAUGAUGUGAACCAAUAAAAGAUCCAUGCCGACUACCAUAGGGAAAGCCCUGUCCUUGUCCACUAGACGAAAAUGGGUGCCCCACAGAGGAUGUUGGCCAGGCAGAAGAGCUGGAACGCUCAGAAUAAGGAGGGGGGCUUCCCCAUAAAAACUGAGGACCUGAUAAAGUUCCAACACCAGAAGAAUUUGAAUUUGAUUCACCAAAAGGAGAUUUAGGGCCAGGACUUGCACUUAAUUUCUGUUCAGGAAAGGAUUGAGAAUGCUGAUAGGCUGCUCCUUGCAGUGAUGCAGAGUUAGAAAACAUGUGGUUUGUUUGAUUAGCCCUUCCUUGGUCCUUACCAAUUGGAGCAAUCUUUCCAGUGUUAGAUAGAUGAGGUGGUAGAAUCGAAGCCAACCCGGGCAAGUGAUUACUGUUUACGGGAGUGGGUGUUGCCAAACCCGUGGACUUACUAAAAGCAUGCAAAGGAUUACUAUUUAUAGGACUGAGUGUUCCCAAACCCGGAGACUUACUAAAAGCAUGCAAAGGAUUGCGUUCAACUGGGCUACCAAACUGUGCCCAGGUACCUGUCAUUGACGUGCCACUAUUUAGCUAAUAAUAGAAAGAAAAAAACAUUUCCAAAAGGAGUUGAUAAACUUUAGUACACAUUAUUAACUUCUCAGACUACCACCAAAAAAAAGAAAAAACUAUUUACCUGGAGGAGAGUUGGUCACUGGUGAGCCUACUUGAUGCCGAAAACCUCGGGCUUCAUCUUGUUCCAGCUCUUGAUUUAAUUGUUGCAUCAGGCUGACCAUAAACAAGUACCUCGACAUUAUUAAUUUUCUAUUUUACAGAUGAUUCAUGACAUAUAAUAUAAGUGAAGAAAUUCAACAAAACAUGAUUCAAGAAGGAAUAUCAACAAAAGAAAUUAUAAAUCAUAAAAUAUGUACAUAACAUUCAGAGACCAUAGAAGAUCAGAUCCGGUUAUUUUACAAAGAAUAGCUAUCAUUUAUGGAUAGAUUUACUUGAAAAAGUAAAAAAAAAAAAAAAAAAACUGUUAGCAGAUUUACAGUUGCCAGAAGAAUAUUAUUGAAAAAAAAAAUCACCAACGAACAGCAGGUCCAAAAGUGUUACAUAAACAUAACAAAAACUGCAUCUUUUUAUUUCUAUUUAAAAAACUGAAAGGCUUCCCUGUUCCACUCAAGUGAUCUACAAUUCACUUGUAUCUCACUUAAAUAAUGGCAUUCAUUUAACUAGGAAUUUCAUAAGAAAUUGCACUCACAAGUUAGAAAGGUACAGGUAUCUUAUAUUCUCGACUACUGAUGAUUUAACUGGAAAUUUAACUCUGGCAGAUGAAGAUGGAAGCUGCAACUGGUGUCAGAGGGCAGGUCCGAUAAUAUAUGAAUGUUCGAUAAUCUUGCAGUUAUCAUCAACAACUAAUGAGGAAACAAGUAAUUUAAGAAGAAUAAACAAAGCCACAAACACUAUUGUUGAAGCUACUGCUGUGCUUUGAUUACCAAAAGGAAAUUUUGGAAAUCUUUUGAGAAAAUGUGGAACCAAGAUAUCCACUCAGAAAUCAACAUGCAACACCCUUUCUCAAUCAAUAACCAACUUGGAUUGCAUGAUCCACAAAAUGUUUAAACCACUAAACCCACACUGCAUGGUAUAGGGGAUAGAUUAAUGCAUGUUGAUUUUACAAACCAUACUUAAUCAGCAAAUUGAUACUUACUUUCGACGUGCUCCACCAGGGCGACUAGGUUCAAGCUUUAUGCGUUUCCCAUUUAUAUCACUCCUAUUUAAUGCUCUGAGAGCCGCCUCAGCAGCUCUCACAUCAUAAAACUCUAUGAAUUUGUGAUGUCGCUUAUGAGGUGUUUCCCUGAUCUGCAUUUGUACACAGAAACUUACAUAUUAGGUAAACAAUUAGCAUAGCGUUCAGGGUACAAUUAUAAGGAUGCGUCAAAGAUAAAUAUAUAUUGGCAAACAAGCACCUCUUUGACCUCCCCGUAAGCCCCAAAAAUUUGACGAAGGUCAUCAUUUGAAACAGAAGCAUCCAAAUUGAACACCACAAGGGUCCCUUGAUUUACAUCCUUUUCUGAUGGAUUAUCCUGGAAUUUAGCCAGAAAAAUAAUUCAUGAAUAAGUACAGGAUGGAAUUAACGUCCACAUAAAAUCAUAUGACAAGCUAUCCUGAACCAAACCUUGGGAAUGGAAAAAUGAAUAUCCAGCUUCCUUCGUCGUAAGGGCUUAUUUUGUAAUGCACGCAUUGCAGUCCGAGCUGCUCGGAUAUCAUAGUAAGAUAUCAUCACAAAACCCCUAUGCUUGCAUGCAGUGUAUAAAGUUCUGAUAUCCCCAUAUUGCUACAAAGAAAAUAAGCAUUCAAUCAAUGACAAUCAAUGAUUGUAGAAACUAUCAAAUUGAGUUCAAAGUCAUUUUCACCAUGAUAAAUGGCAGAACAAAUUAGAAAUAACACCAGAGAAUCACAAUAAUACACUUCUUCAACCAGACCCAAAAACAGCAAUUACAGAAAAAAAAAAACAAAAGGGUUCAGCACUUAAAAGCAAAUCACUAAAAGACUUCAAUGCACAUGGAAACAGGAUGUAAAUUCAACAGAAUACACAUAAUACCCAAAAUUCACUCACAUACAGGAAACAAGAGUCAUUCAAUCAUAACAAGAAAAACACAGAAAAUGAACAUCUCUUUUUCAAUAACAUUAAAUAAUAUGUGAUCUCUUAUUCAUUUCCUUUUCAUAACUUGAUAAUAUUAUUUUAUCUGGUAUAUGGAGAAAAACAUGAGAUAACCUUUUCAUUAAGCCUUUGAUACAUUCUUUCUUCCAGGAAAGAUGUUAAAAUGUCCAUAGCAAGUCAAAUACAUGUCAGGUAUACAUAUAUUAUUUGAAAAAUAACCAAAUUUCAGAAGUAACAUGAUCAGCAAAGACAUUAAUAACACAGAUACUAAUGCCAAAGUGGACAUAAAGGUUUUGUAAAAGGAAAUAAAAACAAUAUGACAUACCUCAAAGAGUGAUCUCAAUUCCAAGUCCUCAACAUUACUAUUGAUAUUUCGCACAAACAGUGUUCUUGAAGGAUGCUCCCCGUAUGGAUGUUCCCCAGCAACUGUUCCCACACCAUUUGAGAUAGGAUAGUGAGCAAUGCCAGUGCCAGCAAUCCCGUCAGAUAUGUUCAGUUUUGACACUCCAAUACUAAGGCUCUCAUGGGGCUCAAAUUCCAACUCCAUUCCUCCGCCACUGUCAAAUAGAUCAUCUUCCAAAUCCUCCAGUUGGCUAGGCAACCCCCUUAGGUCAAAAUCAUCUACUAAGCCAGCAAGAAGAUCAUUUUCAUCAUCAGGAAGCAAGCUUCCAAUUGUUUCAACACCAGCAAGUGGACCAUUGCUCUCAUUUUCCAGGUCAAUUUUGUUUAAAGUUGGUGAGCUAUCAUCAACAGAUUGAUCAUGGUGUUCUGAAUCAGCAAAGUUCACUGCAUGUUGGCAAAAGAAGGCCUAAGAUGUUAAUUUUAAGUAAUAGAAAUCUACUAUAUCUUGUAAGAAGAGCUCACACAUACACUUCUCAUGAGGAAGGACAGGCAGUGAACUAGAAAACAAGCUUGCAUCAUUCGAUGCAUUAUUUGCUUCUGUUCCAAAUGAGAUUCCCCACGCACCACUUCCCACUUUCUUAGGGAUGGUCAAUGAUGGAAUAUUAGAUGAGCCUACAAAAAUAUUGAUCCAAAGACCACUCAGAAUAUGACAUCAGCAACUACACUAGAAACAUAAGAAUAAAUGUUUGUCUUGGCUUUCAUCAGAUUGACAGAGAGAGAUAUAGAAGGCACCUUUAGAAUGGCCCGAAACAGAAUCCCCUGAUUGUUGUUCCAUAAAUUGCUCACAGCAGCAAAAGUACCUGGGAGCUAAGCUAUUAACAAAUUUUCAAUUUGUUUAUUGUUAUGGAGCUGCCUUAACAUCAUCAAAUAGCCAUUCAUAAAGAGAUGCACAGAUAUAAAUCUAUAAGAAUUGAAGAUUAAAUCGAAAACAGUACAUUAAGCAAAGAAAAGAAAGACGAUAUAACUAUUUAAUUAAUCUAUAGGAAUUUACUUAAUUUAAGUGCAUUCACUAAAUUCUUCAGAAAUGAUCAAAGUGACUGCAAACAUGGUCCAAGAGCUCAAUUAUCUACCACAAAAAUGUCAGGCUGAACCAAAUACCUCAAGCACAGGACAAUUACAAUCGAGCUUCCAUGAUUUCUUCCCUUACUAUCACGCUGGAAAACUAUUUCGUUAAUCAGUUGCCCACAUUUCUACUGUUUUUCAUUAGUAAAAGCUCUUGUGAAAUUCAUUAGUAAUCAACUAAGUACAAACACAAUUACAAUUUGUUAAGUGAGAAAAUUCAGCUCCAUGAACAUUACAAUCAAAAGUAAUUAGCAAUUAUGAAACAACAUUCACUUGAGCCUAUUAAAUACUCAUUCCUCUAUACACAAUUGAGCAAAGCAAAUUCUCAAGAUCAGGUACGAAAUCACAAACUUCAACAACCUAAUAAUACAUCCAAAACUCCGCGACACAUCAAAAAAUCAAACAGAAUUAGCAACAGUCCGCACAAAGUCAACACACACAUGAAGGACAAAAAAAAAAUGCCUCAUUUAGCCAUCAAGUCAAGCACAAACACAAACUCUAAACUCAAAAUUUCACUAUUUCAGUAACAGUUACUUGAAUUCCUAAUAAACAAAACAACUGAUCACAUACGAAAAUUACGAAGAAGCGUAAAAGGAAGAAAGAAAGAAAGAAAGAAAGAAAGAGAGAGAAAAGACAGUACCUGUUUGGAGAGAGAGAAAAUAAAUGAAUUAAAGAGAGUCCAUUAAAGACGAUGAUGAUGAUGAUGAUGAUGAUGUGUUCAGAGAAUUCAAACAAAGUUUUUGUCUUGAUCAGGAUUAUGUGUAUAUAUAUAUAUUUUUUAUAUAUUAAUAAACCGAAGAGUUAGGGAGAGAGAGAGAGAGAGAGUUUCGUAGAAGCAGAGAUAUUUCUUUCUUAUACUCUUCUACUUCCUCUACUCUCGCCGAGAAACUAGACAGAAAAGAAAAUUUUUUUAAAAAAAAAAGAAAAGGAAAAUGAAAGAGAAAAAGGAGAAAAGAAAAAUAUCUCACAGAGAUAAAAUGAUUGGAGGGAAGCAAGGACUAGUUACCACUAAAGCCUAUAUAACACCACACUACAGAACUCUACAUCGACACAAAUUAUUGAACGAUGAAUUAAUUCUCUCUUCCCUCUCAAAAUUCCACUGUAUUUGAAUUCUGUUUGGCGUCCGUUGACAAGGAGGUGAGGUGGGGCGAACUAAGAUUCAACCAAUUAAUUAACCUUCGAGUUUGGGUUAAUUACGGGAUUGCCAUCGGGAGUGAAGCCCUGGAGGGCAGGAGUGCGGUUGCGGUGACAGUGGCAGGAUGUGAUUGGUGGGAAGAAUUGAUGGGGGGUUUUUUGUUCACUUUGAGUUGCUGCAACCAAAGAGGUACUGACGCGUAGGAUACGUUAAAUGAGAUUGAGUGCAGAGGAAUUUGUGGAACUGUGGCUGGUGACGUGCUGUUGCGUCGGCAGAAGCGAUUGGGAUUCACCUGCUAAACCGUGUGGGGGCCUCCAGGGAAUAAAUGUCACAAAUCAGAUUUCGACACGUUUGUGUUAAGUCACACGAGGCGAGGAGAAUCGAGUUUGGGUGAAUUUUGGUCAUAUCAAAAAUUUCACUUUCCACUUAGACGGCCCGUGACGGUUUAAGGUUUUACAUCAUGGGAUGCAUGCACAGAAGAGUUGUGUUUGGUUUGUACAACUUUCAAGUAGUGAAUAAUGAAUUUGAUCUUACGUUGAUUUGCAUUAUUUUUUUGAUGUUCGAAAAAAUAUGUAACCGACAUUAAUAUAUAAAUUUUAGGAUAUACCUUAAAAUUACGUGAAAAUAUAAAAAUAUCCUUAUUUAAAGAUAAAUAUUUAUAUAGGAUAAGACUAUUUAGACCGAUCGAACUAUUAAUUAAAUUCGUUUCUUAAAAAUAAAAAUUAUGACACAAAUUUUCUUAACUUAAAAUACUAUUAUAACCAACCAUUAUAGCUUUAUUGUCUUCAAUUUCUCUCACUAAAGUUUUUAUCUCUACAUUAAUUUUUCAUAAUGGUAGCUGUAGUUUCAUGGCUAGCACCAACAAAGGCGCCAAGAAAUCAAUGAUUUCCUAAUCGAAAAAGCCACUGCCUUCGCCCAGAAAUUCCGCGAAUAUAUUGUUCUUUCGCUCUCUAGAUUCACUAUCCUUUCUCGUUUGUCUCACUAUUAAAGCUUAAGUGAUCAACGCCUCCGCCACCUUUGUAAUCUCACCUUCAUAAUUAUCUAUUAUACAUUUAAAAAUUACAAGGUGCAUAUGUUAAGAGUGAAAAAUAAUAAUAAAAAGAAAGCUUGUAUGUAUAAUUUUGUUCUUGUAUAGCUCUGCAAUAGGUUAUGGAGAAGAUGAGCAAAGGAACAAUGAAAAAGCUAUCGAUAACAAAUAGUAUUCUUAAAAAAAAAAAGAAGAAAAAAAACGCUACAACAAGCCAAGAACGAUGGGAAGAUUUAGCUAUAAAACAAAAAACAGAAUACUAAGAGAAAGUAGAGAGACAAAAGUUGCAAAAAAAGAAAAAAAAAACUAAAUCAAAGAGAUUUAAAUAAGGACGUAUUGGGUAUAAAGAUGGGUUUAUUGAGUAAAAAAUAAGUUUUUAAACUUUAUUUCAUGAUAUAGGAUAAUAAUACAAAUAAGUUCAAAAUAGGCAGUAUAUAUUAAAUCCAUUACAACAAAUAAAAUUGAAGAAAGUCGUUAAAAUGUUAUUGACGAGUGAGGAGAAAAAUAGCGCACGAAAAUAUCGACCACAUCAUCAAACACACACCAUAUCAGAGCUCCUCCCAAGAAUAAAUGUAUGUACAUGAAGAAGAUUAAUUAUGAAGUUAAUAACAUGGGCUUGAAUUGGUGAGCUGGCCUCGGACUUUAUUUAAUGGGUAAUGGCAGUCAAGUCGCCUUGUAGGCCAGGCUGUGACGGGACAGUUGCGUUUGAUUAUUUAAAUGAGCCUAUUUCAUUGGGUUGCUAACAAGUGAACAAGGGAUGGCAAAUUGAUGGCCCGGGCCGGGCCUUUUCAAGCCUCUGUUGUUGAAAAUAUAGGACUCAGACUUAGGCCGAGCUUGGGCCGAUACGUGAUUCCGCAUAUUUUUUUUUUAUUGUAAACUUAUAAUAAGUUAAUAAUUAAUUAUGAAUUAAAAAAAUAAUUAUUUCAAAAUAAUAUAAUAAAUAAUGAUGAAGCAAUUAAAUGCUUACAUGUUUGGUAUUAAGGUUCAAAUGAGAGUCUAGUGUUGUAACUUUAAGUUUUUUUUUAAUAAUUAUUGAUUUAUGAAUUAUGAAUUUUUAUUUUUAUUUCUUUUUUAUAUUUUAAUUUAUUGUUUUAAUUAAUAAAUUUAUAUUUAAAAAAUAGAGGAUCGGGUCAGCUAACUAUGGCCAAUGGGCAACUGUCGGCCCACCAAUUUGGUGGGCCGUGCCGUGCGUACCUUUUUUUAGUUGAGCCCAGCACGGUGUGGGCCGUACCCAAAAAAAGCCCACCAACUUUUUUUUUUUUAGCGUGCUUAAAAAAGUCAACGUGCCUGACGUGCUUUUUUAAGCCUACCAACAUAAUAAUAAUAAUAAUAAUAAUAAUAAUAACAAUAAUAAUAAUUUUAUUUAUUAAAAUCAUGAUAUUUAGUUAUUUACUUAUUCAUUUAAUAAAUUAUAAACAUAAAUAAAUAAUUAAAUAAAUAUCAUAAAUAAAAUUUAAUAUCAUAAAUAACAUUAUUCAUUUAAUAAAUAUCAUAUAUAAAAUUAUGAUAUUUAUAAUUUUAUUUAUUAAAAUCAUGAUAUUUACUUAUUCAUUUAAUAAAUUAUAAACAUAAAAAAUUAGAAUAUUUAUUUAAACUAAGAUUUAAUGAUUUAAAUUAAUUUUUACAAGUCUAUGCUAAAAAAUAUAUUAAAACAUUUAAUUUCAAGAUAUUUUACUUUAAUUUCAUAACAUUUUAUAUUUACUUUUUGUUAAAAAAAUUUACUUAGAUAUAUUUUGGCCCACGUGCUAUUAAUGUCUCAUGGGCCGCGUGCUAGCCCACUAAUGAACCGUGCUUAUUACGUGCUUUUUCGCGUGCCGUGCUUUGGCUCAUCUCUAAUCGUGCCGUGCUUUAAGGCCUGCGUGCCUAAAAUUCUAGGCCCGGGACCGCCCACGUGCGUGCUGUGCCGUGCCUCGUGCCUCACCAAAGCGUGCUCGUGUCGUGCCACGUGUCGCCCGGGCCAUUGGCCAUCUCUACUCAGCUAACCCGAACUUUUCGCCAACUUUAAAAUGAACGGCACUGACAAUAGCGAUUUGAAAUAUGAAUUUUUUUAAAAUAAAACUUUAUUAAUUAAACACACAAGCACAUAUUACAUGAGAUCAUUAUUUAAUUUAACAUUUCACAAAAAAGCUGAAGAAAAACACUAAAUUUUGAAUGUCCCUUCAUUUAAUUAUUAUUCUUAUACUUUGACUGUUCACUAGUUUAAUCGCUUCGAACAUUAACGAGUCUCUUAUGUGCAAACUAAAAUAUAAAAGCCACAAAGAUUCCUUUCAACCUUCUUGCUAGCUGAUUAUGCCUUUGUAGUUUGUAAGGGCGGUGAAUUGAAUCGGGUUGACAUUCGGCCUCGCAUAACCCGUAAAUGGUGUAGGCUGGGAGGGUUGGGCUUUUAGAAAAGGCUCAUUUUCCAAUUUAGUAUUGUUUCAAAACUAGAAAAGUGUAAAAAUAAAUAAAUUAAUCAAAAUAAUUACGGAAAAAAAAAACAAAUAAUAACAUCGCCAAGUAAAUCCAGAAGUUCAAAGUUUAAAAAUCAAACCAAUAUUUUAUUUUUCCUCUAAAUUUUAAUAUAAUAUAUAUAUUAUUUAAUAAUUUAUUAAAAAAUAUAACUGCGAGUUUGCGGAUUGGGUUGUGUUGGGCUCAAUGCCCACCUUAUCUAUUUUAUUUAAUAAUUAUUUUUUCCUUUCACCCAAAAAAAAAUGUUGUUAAUACAUCUGAACCAAUUGUCAUAGACUUAUAUAUAAGGAUAAAUUUCAUAAGCUCAUGAAUUGAAAAUUCAUAAAAUUUCUUUACGUAUUUUAUGUUCAGCCCCUUGGGUUUACAUAAUUCUGUUAUAGAAUUAUGUUGACCGGUUCUUAAAGUACGUUUGGGAUUGAGGUUGGACAACUGUAACUUAAAAGCUACAGCACUAAAAUUUUUGGUAAACACUACCUGCUAUACUUUGGAAACUAUAUUAAUAUGAUUUUUCAUUUGUAUAAUGAAAAAUCUAUUAUAUUUUUAAUAUUUUUUUCAAAACUAUUAUUUAAAAUUUAUUAUUAUUACAUAUUAUUAACUUUUAUUUCAUAAUUAUAAUUUUUUUCUACAGCAGCUGUAAUUUAAAAACUAUAACACCUCAAUCCCAAACGCACCCUUAAUUUAACCUCCUCAAGUUUAUAGAUUUUAUGUUAUGUUGCUCAAUUUUAUAGUUUCACCAUUAUAAUCUUGUCCAAUCAGAAUUUUGGACCAUUGACAACAUGACAUGUUAUUUUUAUUAUUUUCCAUUAAUUUUGCUAUAGCACCAUAUUAUUUCUACAAAAUUUCCAUUAAUUUUGUUAUAUCACCAUAUUAUUUCUACAAAAAAUUUACCACUGCAGACAAUCAAUUUUUUUAUUUUAAAUUUCAUCUCAAAUAAUUCAUUAAAUGGUCGAUAAUUCUUUAUUAGAUCUAAGUGAAUUAAUUGUAUUAUCUUAUUAACUAAUUGAUGAAUACCAUACCAUUGAAGAUAAUUUUUUGGGAUAAAAAAUUAAAAAUAUAUAGCACUGUUCAAGGAGUUUUACAUUCAUUAAAAUCAAACUCGAAAAAAUAUGAAUUUACAAUUUAUAUUGCUUCUACCUCUUAAAAUUAAAAAAAAAAAAAAACGAAAGGUAGGAUUGAGCAAAGACUAAAUAUAUUUUUAAGUUUUAACCCUUAUGCCCCCUAGAACUUAAACUCAGAUGGUCAAACGGAACAAAGAUCUAAUUAAAAAAUCACUCGAUUAAUCUGCCUUUUACAUCUUCCAUUGAGUACGCGAACAAAUUGAAUAAUUUAUACAUUUUAAAUAAGCAAAAAUCAUUUAGGCAAAAUAUCAAUUGCCAUGUCAACACAUUUAUGAGUUUUGUCCUCACAAAAGAUUCUAGACAGGGAAAGGAAACACCGAAGGAUGAAUACGUCUCACAAGCGAGUGAUACGAUCCAGUCGAGUUGGAAGCUGCGUGGUGUGGCAUCUUCUUUGCCCAGCGGCCGGUAGGUACAACCGCCGGACAAGGGACCCACAACUUAAAAAGAAAAGGUUCGUAUGGCUAUUUUGUAACUGUCCACUGCCUCAAGAAAACUUCACGUGGCCACGUGGUUUUAAUCACCACAUACCUGUCGUGCAGGUUACGGUAAGGAUAUCCUCUUUCCACUUUCUGUAUCCGUGUGUAUUUUUAAACCGCAUAGCAUACGGUUACGUAUACUUAAGUUCUUGAUAUGAAAGGGAGAGGGUAAAUAAGUCAUUUAAAUAAUGUUGUCGAGACCUGAGACUCUAUACGGUGUAUAUAUACUAGAACUUAAUCUUGUCGAUAAAUUAAUAUAUGAGCUCUCACAUAUACGAGAGACUCAAACUCUCAACUCUAAAAAUGAAAUAAGAAAGUGAUUGACCAAUUCAAAUAAGAAAUUGUUACCAUUUGAUAUUAUAUCUUUAAAAUAAAUAUUUUAGCACAGAACCACACUACGUUAUGUUUAUCGUAACGUACAUCCACAUACAGCAACAGUUCUCAUGAUGAGAUCCGCUACUGUUACUAUGUGUGGCGUACGUUACGAUUAACGUAAUGUAGCACUGGCCUUUACCACAUGGUUAUGAAUAUUUUUCAAUAUAAAUGCAAGCUGGCUAUUUUUUUAAUAUCAAAUUGAACGUAUAAAUGACCUUUAAUUAAUGUAUUAAUUCAAGCAUUACUAAAUUUAUUAUUAUAAUAAUUUUGUAACACGUUUAAAUUCAAAUAUGCGACACGCCACUCAAUUGAUUGAUUGGAUGAAGAUAUUUAUAACGUUUGAUCAUUUUGGGGCAAUAUAAUAUUAUAGGCUUUUAAAAGCAAAAGAGAGAGAAUUCAAUCAAUUCAUCAUCACUCACGUAAAAGAAGAAAGAACUGGGUCGGAUCUACUUUUAGAAUAGUCAUAAGAAAGGAAGAAUUAGUUGGAUACCUUUGUCUGGUUUAACGUGCUCCAUGUGUUGAGUACUUUGCUUUGGUGAUUUGAGUUACUCAAUUUAGAAAUUGGAAUGCUACCUACUUUUAUAAAAUAAUAAAAAAAAACAUUAAUUGCAUUAUAUUACUAAUUAACUACCUUUUGUACACAUAUACAUUAUGUGUUAAUGGAAAUUAUAUAAUACGUAACGAUAGUGUUGCUAUUAAUAGAAAUUAUAACAUAUAAUGAAAAAGUUGUAGUGACGAUUGUAACUUUACAGACACUGCACUGCAUACAUAACAUGACCCUUUUGAUAUAUCUUUACAUAACCCUAAAUACGUGAGCAUAUAAUUACUCUUUAUCUUCAUCGGUUUAUAUUCCUUGGGCACUUUUACUCAAUCUCUGUUAAUUGUUCAGUCGGUGGAGUGCCAGUUUUAAUCACAGAUACGAUGAGUUCCCACUUUGAGUUGAUGUUCAUGCUUUUAUUCCAUUAUUGGUGAACGUAUAGUUCAAAUUAUUCAAAGAUAAGGCAACAUCUUGGGCACACAUGUCCUUCAAAAUCACAGCAUAUUGUUUAAUAUCAAGGGUUUCUUUUUGGGAAAAAAAAAUAUUUUAAAUUAUUUUUAAGAAAAUUACCAUGCCACACAUAUAUAGAUACCAGCAUUUGCAUUUUUGUAUUGCCUAACUAUUUACUGCUGGUACCUGAAAAUAUCUUUAGACAUAUGUUGUGUCAACUUGGGUUUUAGCCAGAAUUUUAAUACCAUGAUGAUAAUUUUCUAAAAAUAAUGUAUGUGUUUCAAUUUUCAUGCCAUUAAUAUUCUUUGUUUGGGCAACUUCAGAGUAAUUAAUGGUAUAUGAUAUUAAAAGCAAUUAUCAUUUCAUUUGUUAUCUUAAGGAAAUCAACUUUUCUUUCUCUCUUCCCCCCCUCCCCCCCAAAACCCCUCUUUUUGUGAAAAAAAAAAAAUUGAUAUUUGGUUUCAAUACGUGAUUAAUGUCUUAAUGUUAUAAUUCCAAAAUAAUUGUAUUUGUAAUGGCAAAAACGAGGAUGCGUUGUCUAAAUUUGUGUAAUCUUUGUAAUCUUUCUCUUUCUUUCACCAUCUUACUUUUAAGCAAAAGAAAUCAAUGAUUGAAUGAUAGUGACAAAAGAUCUGCUUUCAAUUUUUAUUUAUUUUUAAACUUCAAUUUCUUUUUAAUUAAUCUUAUGUUCAAUGUUAAUUAGCCUUGCCGGUGAGUGGCUAUAACGUUGUUAAAUCAUUCAAAAGUUGACUCAGAAAGGGAAUAUAUAAUUUCAUUAACCCAAUGCCUUCGCUGCUCCAUUCUUUGAAUUGAUUUGAAACAGCUCUCGUUACUAAAUUACAGAAUAUUACACGAAAAGAAAGAUAGAAGAGAUAAGACCAUCCAAAAAUAUUUGUUUUUAUCUCUUUGGACUUAUUGUUUCCAUUUCCACAAUAUUUUAUAAUAGGGGAAGUUUUAUUGGAAGAAUAGUACAAUUGUUAAUUUUUAUUUGGUUUUGCCUAUGGCUUUUAUAUUGCUAAUUGAAUCAAUUGCUUUUUAAUUAAUUAUGUCAACGCAACCUAUUGUUGACUUGUGAGGGGCCUGGUUUAAGAGAACUUAUUUAGAUUCUGGCUUUGAGGUUGGACAGUUUAGUUUAAACAGUUAUAACAUUAAAGUGUUUAAUAUAAUUAUUGUAGUUUGAAAAUUAAAUUGAUUUAAUCUUACACUAAUAUGAUAAAAAAAUCUACAAUUUUUUUAUUAUUUUUAUCAAAAUUAUUAUUUUAAAAAUCAUGCUUAUUACAUCAACUUUUAUCUUACAAUAAUUGUUAUAUAAAAGUAACGGUAUCUUAAUAUCAAACAGAAUCAUUAUCUAGAUGACUAUUUUUACAAAAUUAUUAAUGCCGAGUAUGCCGAAUCAUAAAUUGAACACCAAAUGAUUACUUCUGAAAGCAUGACUGGCUUGGUCCCUCAUUAAAAAUUACCUAAAUGAAUAAACCUUAAUGUGUCCCCAUAAAUCUUAUAUCAUAUAGUCACAUUGUUGUAGGAAUCUUAGGGUGCGUUUGGGAUUGAGGUGCUGUAGCUUUUAAGCUACAGCUGCUGUGAAAAAAAGGCUGUAAUUAUGAAAUAAAUGUUAAUAAUAUAUAAUAAAUAUAAAUUUUAAAUAAUAAUUUUAAUAAAAUUAUUAAAGAUAUAAUAAAUUUUAUAUUAUACAAGUGAAAAAUCAUAUCAACAUAGCUUAAAAGUUACAGCAGUUAGUGUUUACUAAACACUUUAGUGCUGUAGCUUUUAAGCUACAGCUGCCCAACCUCAAUCACAAACGCACCCUUAAUCAUGAUUUGACAAUUUGAAGGCAUUAACAUAUAAUAAUAGUAAAAUCCUUCUUCCCCCCGGAUAUAUCUACUGAUUAAAAAAAAAAAUUGAAAGAUGAUGAUAAUGUGAAUAUAUUCUAAUGCUAGAUACUUCCCAACAACUUUGGAUCUGUAUUAUAUAACAUAAGAAAAGCCAAAACCCUAGCAAACUUAUAAUAAAAUCUUUUUGAGUUAAAAGAGAUUCUUAUACGUGUACAUAUAACUAUCCAAUAAAAUUACCAUAAUGUGUACAUCAUCAUAUACAUAUCAUGAUUAUAUUGGUUUAUUGUAUGUAUACCUUCGAUGCAGUGGGUCUUUCUUUCUCAUUAUGACACUCAUCUUAAAUACUUGAUCAUUUAGUUCGUAUUUCAUUAGAGUCUUUAUUUGUAUUUGAGUGUCACCUCCAAUGCUGCUUCCAAACAUUUUAAAAUGACUUUACAAAUGAAACAUUGUAGAACAAUAUUUUUAAACUUAUUUAAUUUGAAUACUUAGUUGACACUAUAGGAAUAUUUUACAAAAAGUUUAACAAUUUUGAUAAAAAUAAAAUAGUAAGUAUUAAGACGAGUUGUAACAUAACCAAGUCAAAUCUGCACCUAAAAAUACUGUGCCAUUUUGCAUUCAUUUGAAGUUUAUCUUUUUACUUCUAAAGGAUAUUGUACGAUAUGUCCAUAAAAUCAAACCAAGUUCAAGUUAAAGUAAGGCUAUAGAUGUGUGGUUAUUUAUUCCUAAUUUUGUCUUAACUCAAGCUUAAUUAACGGCCUUGGGUUUGAAACUAUGAUGGAUUAACCCUAGAUCAAAUUGAGAUUAACCCUAAUUCUCAACCCUCUUAAUUUACAUGAUUAAUAACGACAACGGACCGAAUCUCUUUGCUUAGUCUUUGUUCUUUUAAUAUUUUGUUGGGUAGAUGUUGACUGUAAAACCCUUUUCUGUCUUCAAAUUUCAGCCAAUCCCAGUUAUUCAUGAGCCUUCUGGUCAAAAUUAAUGGCUUCUGCUUUGGAUUUUCUUUUCUUUUAGCUAUUUGUCCCUCGUUAUGUAAUGGGUUGUUAGGAACAAAUCACCAACAUUUUGAAUCCUCAAAUCAAAUCUUUUGUUCGCCAAUAUAGCCGUCAUUUUAGAAGUUUCAAAACCAUUCUGUCAUAAACAUAUAUUUUUUUUCCUGUUUAAAAAAAAUAUAAUUUUUUUACUUACGAUAAAAUUCAAAUUAAUUAAUUUUUAAUCAUAAACUGGGUCAAUUUAAAAGUAGGAUAAAAUGUCAGCAGAGCAUUUGGUGUGCGGCUGGUUUUCAGAUACCCCAUAACCGAUGAGAUUAAAACAAAUGUUCAAAACUCAAAAGAGGUUGGUGACGGUUGUUUAAUUAAUAAAUUUAUCCAUUAAUUUCACUUCGAGACUCCCGAGAAAACGUGUUCCUCAAAAACAUUUUUGACAUGUGUUGCACAUGUAUUUUUGUUUUUAUUUUUCCAUUCACAUAGUCGGAUACCUAUUUCAAUGGCUAAUAAUUAUAUUUUGCCACCCGGUUUAUGUAUCAUAAUUGAAGUUUAACUCGAAAAUAUUAGUAAUGAGAGAAGCUAUUUAGUGCUUAUGGAGGAGCAUUACUCCUUCUCUGUUCAAUACUUACUAUACGAAUAUGUGUGUUAUCAUAAUUAGUUGAAAUAUAUACACGUACUCAAUACCAAAUGAAAAAAGAGCAGUGCUCUAAGAGUAUUUGUGAUUUUUUUAAACUAUACAUAAAAGAGAAUAUUUACUUAACAAAACACACGGAGAGAUUCAAAGUCACAACUUCAAAAUUAAUGUGAAAAAAUUUAAGUUCUCCGGUCACUCGACUCAAGUUCAAGAAGGAUUGACACAUGUAACAAACAUGUUAGAUAGUAUACACAACCACUAAUAACACUUUCCCAUUUUAAAGAUAUAGCCUAGAGGACUACUUCAUGUUACCUUGGAAAAUUUAUUUUCGGCUUUAAGCAUUUUUAACGUUGAACUAAAGAAUAGAAGAUGAUGGUAAAAUUUGAAUGAUUGGUACAAGUGUGGCAAAUACAUUUUCAAUAUGAUUGCAAAGGUUUCCGGUAGGAGCGUGUCUGGACUCCCGUGUCUCUCUCGGCCUUCCACGUGGGUCUACUAAUUAUUAUUCUACGAAUAAAAAAAUAAAAAAAAAACCCCCACGCGGCAUAAUACUAAGUCCAAAAACACUUUUCAGAAAGAAACGACGCGUACGGGUUAAUUCUGGAAACAGAAAAGAGAUUCCCGAAAUUCUCUCGGCCUCCCACCCGGCACCCCGCCCAAACAAAAGAACGAAUCUCUCAAUUCACCCCUAAACUUCACCGCUAAUUACACAUCAAUGCCACUACUACCGUACUUAACUCGCAUUAUCCGUAUUUUUUUAAAAAAAAAUUUGUAAUUGGAUAAGCAUUUAAAAAGAAAAAAAAUUACUAAAAAGAUGGGAAAUUAAUAACACUCUGUAUAUAUUCCUAGAUUCACGACAAAAAUACAUUCAAUUGAAAAAAAAAUAUUUCUCUCUCUCACAUAUAUUGUAUGCGGAGCUUGCUUCUCCCUACUGUCGGUGUUGAGAUCUUGCAGCAUCUACACUCAACGUCGUCGUCUGGCGGUCGCUUUUAAAAAAAAAUUAAAAGCAAAGCUUAAGUGCGGUUCAAGAUCGCAGUACCUGUAAACCUGCUCGCUCGUGUUGAUCAUAUUUAUGUUAGUUGAGGGCAAUGGUUAUUCGGUUGUGAGUGAGAGUCGUAUGAGGAGAGGAUUGUGGUGGGACUGCGGCCUUGUCAUCAGGAGCAGAGGCAGAUGGGGCAAAUGCGGCUAAUUUGAAUCUCCACAUUUCUGAAAAUAAAACAUUUUCAAUUUUCACUUCAUUAUCUCUCCGUUGCUUAAAUUAUUUUGUUCAGUUUUCAACUAAAUUAUGCAGCAAGAUCACCGCAAGAAGGUUGAUUUUCUUUCUUUUUUUUUGUGUAUUGAUUUGAUUAUGCGUUAUUAUUAUUAUAUUUUUUGUUAAUGGAAAACAGCAUAAUUAAAUGCGAAUUUACUUUUUUUUUUCUUUUUUAAAAUUGAAUUCAAUGCUUGAAUCUGAUCUCAUUAGAUGCUGCUAUGUGCUCUGUGUGUUUGUGUAUCUAUCUAAAAGCGGACCUGAUUCUGUCCUCUCUCUCUCGCUCUCUAGUACUCGCUGUCUGUUUACUCUUUCUGUUUUAUUUGUUUAUUCAUUUAUUGCUGUGAGUGGAUAAAUUUUUUUUUUUCAUCCUGACAUUUACAAAAUAUGUGAGCUUGAUCUUACUUUUGUGUAUGCUUCCUUGGAUCUUUGCUUGGAUCCUUUUGUGUGCUUCUCUGAACAUGCUCCGUGCUCUUUGAGGUUUUGAUUUGUGUUCAUGUAUAGUUACUAAUUAGAUACAUGUAUGAUUGUCUGCUCGUGGAAUGGAUUUAUCAGAUUUUGUGUUUUAGUUAAAAUGUUGAAUUAGAUUUUUUUUUUUAAUGUACUUUUUUCAGAACUGUGUUAAUUCUCAUCUUGUCAUAAAAUUCUAUACCUUCAGCAAUUUCAAAACAUAUUUGGAAUUUCGAUUAUGAGAGAAUUCAAUCUAGAUAACAUAUAAUGUAAUGGACCGUUUAUUCAGCCAAAUGCGAACUAAGGGAAUCCAUUGCUUUCUUCUUAGACAUCACUUUUCUAAAACAUAUUUUCACUUGCUGCUGUAUCGUAUGUUCAUGAAUUGGAGAUGUACAAGAUGUGAUUUUGAUCUUUGGUUGACAUGCUUUUGAACAUAGAACAAUAUACGUAGCGGCAAGAAAUAUUUAAUAAUUUUAAGAAGAAUAAGAGAAGUAUGAAGUUAUCGUAGAUAAAAGCGAUUUGUGACUAUCUUUUUAUCCUGCUUAUUCAAGCUUUGUUUUGUUGCUGGGCAGGUCCCCUGUCAUAAUAAGUGUUCAUGUCUAACUUACAAAAGAUUUUCAAUUUUUACGAGCGAUGAAUUUGAAUUUGAAUAGUCAUGUUGGCUUAAUAUCAUGUAUCUGUGGAUAUAAGUCUGUCAGUACUAGCUACUUGCACUGGUAUGCUAACCUAGUUUGGCCACUUGGGUUUUUCUAUGUUGCAGAAUUCUCCGGAGAUGGAGUUUUUCUCUGAAUAUGGUGACGCCAGUAGGUACAAAAUUCAGGAAGUUAUUGGGAAAGGUAGUUAUGGUGUUGUUUGCUCAGCAAUUGACACUCAUACUGGUGAGAAAGUGGCAAUAAAGAAGAUACACGAUAUUUUCGAACACAUAUCUGAUGCUGCUCGCAUUCUUCGGGAGAUAAAACUACUUAGACUUUUACGACAUCCUGAUAUUGUUGAAAUCAAACACAUUAUGCUUCCCCCUUCGAGGAGGGACUUUAAAGAUAUUUAUGUUGUUUUUGAGCUCAUGGAGUCAGACCUCCAUCAAGUCAUCAAAGCCAAUGAUGAUUUGACACGAGAGCACUAUCAGUUCUUCCUUUACCAGCUCUUGCGUGCGCUAAAAUAUAUUCACACAGGUAAUCUACGUACUACAAACUUUUUUGUCAGUGUCUGGCAUUAUUGCUUAAUUAAUAACAAAAAUUGAGUUGACUGGUUGACAUAAUUGUGGAUGACGUAUGUAGUAGUUGCAAAAAAAUAAUUAUUGCUGCGGUUUUACUAUUUUUAAGACACAACAAUCUGGUAUUGCCUUUCUGUCUGUGACCUGUUUUCAUCUAGUUAUGCUUGCUCCCUUGAGUUUGGAUAAUAUCUUGCUGUCAUUCUAUGUUGUCAUUUCCUUUAUUCUCUUGCUCCCUUUUUUUUAUGUCUAUCUAAUAGUUAUCUACUUGGUUGCAGCAAAUGUCUACCAUCGAGAUCUAAAACCAAAGAAUAUAUUGGCAAAUGCAAACUGUAAGCUUAAAAUUUGUGAUUUUGGGCUAGCAAGAGUUGCGUUCAAUGAUACACCUACUACAAUUUUCUGGACGGUAUGUCAUUUGUAUGUUUAUAUAUAACCUUUCUGAUUAUUGUUAAAUUACUGUCUUACCAAAUUUAUAUGUCUUGUGUUCUUUUUUUUCUGAAUAUAGGAACUCAUAUUUCUUGUUCUUUUAUGGUAUUUCUGCAGGAUUAUGUUGCUACAAGAUGGUAUAGAGCUCCAGAGCUUUGUGGAUCCUUUUUUUCUAAGGUAUGGCUUCCCCCGCUUGUUUCCAAUGAAGUGUUGACAGCCAUGGUGUCUUAUGAAAACAAAACAAUAAUACUAGCAUAGUUUUGUGCUAGUUUUGGACCAUGACAUUUUGUAGAUCCUUUACUGGAUGUUGUAUUUUCGCCUAUGAAGUUCUUUAUUGAUGGAUCAUGUAGUAGCUCAUGAAUGGGUAAGGUGCCUAGUAUGUGACCACAAUAUUGAGUGUUUUGGGUUGAGAUUUUAGGUUGACAAUGUAUAACCAGUUUGGGUAUCAGAAAAAUUUAAAAAUAUUGGGCUUCUAUGUUCCAUAAGUGACAUGUUGCUGCUUCAGAUUGCAAGGUUAAAAAAAAUGGUUUCCUGAAUGACAACUUUUUCCUUGAUGGAUUCUAACUGAUUGGCUACUCAGCAUUUCAUGUGUUGAUUUUAUUUAGUGUAGGGGGAAAAAAAAGAAGAAAAGGUUUCCCGAAUUACAACUUUUUCGUUCAUGGCUUCUAAUUGAUUGGCUGCUCAGGAUUUCGUACAUUGAUUUUAUUUAGUGUAGAAUUAGAAUAUAGAGAAAACUUUAUGCAGUAUCAUUUGAUAGCAGCUGCCCAGUAGUCACAUGACCCAUAAACGCGGGAUUGAUGGAGUUUCAUGCACCAUCACUGCAAGAGAUCAAUUUGGAUGCAAGAGACAUUUUCUAUCAUUUAGGAAUUUUAAAUGGCUAAUAGCGUCUUUCUUUUAGUUGUUACUCAUGUUAGAAUGUUGAAGAAAGUGUAAACGCAUACUUGCAAAUAGAAUUCUAUUGUUCAAAACACAUUAUAUAUCCCGUGAAUCCCAGGUUCCAGAUAACAUAAAGGGAUUCCAUCUAUUAUUUCUCUGUCAAAUCAAUUUACUUAUAGCUUAUUUAGUAGGUCCGUGAAGCAAUAUUAUUCAGCUGCAUGGUCAACUUUAUCCAUAUUUCGUCGAUCAAAAGUGGCAUUUUAGCCUCUUUUUGUGAAACAGAUUGGAGAAAUCAUCGAUACAUGGUGGUGCUUGGCAUUAUAUUUGCUGAUGUAUGCAUUUACACCCAAUUAAAGAAUGAUGUUUUGGCAUUUCAAAGGGGCUGAACUUGUGGUUGGUUCAACUUCCAUCAGUUCUUGGAUGCAUUAUGAUCCACGUGAGUUGGUUCGACUUCCAUCAGUUCCAAUAGGGAAGGCUGCAAGAUGGGAUAGAAUUGUAGCUUAGCAGAUUUCACUUUUUCUGAUUGUUCUGGCUGUGUCUCUACAGCACUUGAAUGUUUCUGAUAUAUGAUGAUAGAUGGAGAGUCUGAGAGGGAGUUGGAUUUUCAAUGUGGUACAUUGAUUGUAACUUGUUCUGUCGCAGACUGAGACCAUAUGUCAACAGAAGUUUUUAAAAAAGACAAUCUACAUCAUGCACAAAAAGUAACUUCAAGCUACUAGUUGACACAAGCAAGAUUUAUCUUGAUGUUCUAUUGUUUCUGCAUUCAUGGUCAUCAAGUUUUAAGGAGUUGUAAUGUAUACCUGAAGCUGGUGUUGGUUAGGCAUGCUCACAGUUGUACUGUGAGAGAGAUUCCAUUCACCAUCUAAAUCUAAUGACACGCUAACAUAGGAACAUAGGAGAGGAAGCAUUGAGGUUCAAAUUGUCAUCUUUUUCUAUUCUUUUUGUUGUCUUAGAAUAUUGCAAGCCAUGUAUGCUUGUUCCACUACUUUUUUAAAGCUUAAUUCUACCUAUAGUAUAACUUGAAGUCACCAUUAUCUGUGAUUGCAUUCGCUUGCAGUAUACACCAGCCAUUGACAUAUGGAGCAUAGGUUGCAUCUUUGCUGAAGUUCUAACAGGGAAGCCACUUUUCCCUGGAAAAAAUGUUGUUCACCAAUUGGACUUGAUGACAGAUCUGCUUGGGACACCUUCGUUAGACACAAUCUCUCGGGUAGUCAAAUAAUUCAUUUGUCUGUCAUUUGGUUAUGGUGUUCAAAGUUUGAAUUAUUUGAUUAGAAUUUAUUCCCCCAACCCCAUGCCCCCUUCCAAGGAAGACAAGGGAGAGAAAGGUCUGUGGUUCUGAUGUCUUACUUUCUGGAUUCAGGUUCGAAAUGACAAGGCAAGGAGAUACCUAACCAGCAUGAGGAAAAAACAGCCGGUUCAGUUUUCACAAAAAUUUCCAAAUGCAGAUCCUUCAGCACUUCGACUGUUGGAAAGGCUGCUUGCCUUUGACCCAAAAGACCGGCCAACUGCUGAAGAGGUUAUCUUAGUGUUAGAUUAUGAAUUGUUACACAGCAUGUUUUGUCAUUCUCAUUUAUUGUCAUAUCUUGACUUAAUAUUAACCACAAGAAUAUUUGUUGAAAUUUUCUUGUUUGGUGUUUUAUCAGGCACUUGCAGAUCCCUAUUUUAAAGGGUUGUCUAAAGUUGAAAGGGAGCCAUCCUGUCAGCCAAUUUCGAAGAUGGAGUUUGAAUUUGAGAGACGGAGGGUCACAAAGGAGGACAUACGGGAACUAAUUUUCCGAGAGAUAUUGGAAUACCAUCCUCAAUUGCUAAAGGAUUAUAUGAAUGGAACCGAGAGGACUAAUUUCCUCUAUCCCAGGUUAUAACUUUCUCAGUCACUAUUUAGUUUUGAUAUUAAAAAUAUGUCACAUGUUUUUUUGUCUCUACUUCAUGCUGAUUUUUGGUGUUAUUUUAUCUACAGUGCUGUUGAUCAGUUCAGAAAGCAGUUUGCACAUCUUGAGGAAAAUGUAGGUAAAAGUGGGCCGGUAAUCCCGCCCGAAAGAAAGCAUGUAUCUCUUCCAAGGUAGGACACUCUGGUUUUGCAGAUUCUUCUUGUUCAUGAAAAUAUACAGCAUCCAUAACUUGUUGAUAACAAAGGAUCAAUCAAUGAAUUCUUCUUUACUAAUGCUCUUUGACUAGAUAGUCAGUUAUAGGUUUUGAUAGUCUGUAAUAUAAUGGCAUCUUGAAGCACCCUACUAAAUCACAUUUUCUUUCAGUUUCUUCUAUAUCAAAUGAAAUCCCCUCUACAGAGGAUUUUCUUUCAGUUCUGGCUGUUCUAACUGGUUAACCAGUAUUGCAAGGAUACAGAUUUCUUGCUUGAGAGAUGUUUGCUUUACUUCAGAUAGCCCAAGGAAUAAAGACCGAUUUGAUUAACUUUGAUGAUUGCAGGUCAACAAUUGUGCAUUCAAAUACAGUUCCUCCAAAGGAACAGCAGAACCUUUCCAGAGAUCGGCAGGCUGCAGAAGAGGUAUUCAACAAAAAUUCCAAGGAGUCAGAAGGAAUUCCUGCAAAUUUGUCGAGGACCUUGCCAGCACAACAAAGAUUUCCAUUAGGUAUUAUUACUCUUGCAUGGUAAAUGUUAUAGUGACUCUAUUGAGUUGAUUGGAAUUAAACUUGCUGUUCUCUUCAGCCAAACCAGGAAAGGUUGUGGGACCAGUUGUGCCAUAUGAGAAUGCAAGUGUCAGGAGAGAUGCUUAUGAUCCAAGAACAUUUAUCAGAAGCACAGUGCUCCCUCAGGCAGUCCCUGCUGCUUAUUGCUACCGCAAAUCUAGUACAGGAAAGCAAGAAAUGGAUUCUGAGAGGGAAAUGCCUUCACAGGUGAAACAUGUUCCUCAAUGUGGCAUGGCGGCCAAAUUUGCAACAGACAUAGCUAUCAACAUCGACUCCAAUCCCUUUUUUAUGACACGAGCAGGGGUGAACAAGGUGGAACACAUAGAAGACCAAAUCUCCAUUGACACAAAUUUGUUGCAGACAAAAUCUCAGUAUGGUGGGGUUGGUGCUGCUGCCACUGCUGCUGCAGCAACAGCUGCCGCUCACAGAAAGAUUGGAACGGUUCAGUAUGGUAUGACAACGAGGAUGUAUUAGCCAAAGGACUAGAGGCAGUUUCAGUAAAGUUUGAGUAAUUGACAGUGAAGGGUUCUUUGAAGGCAUUGGGACAAAACUAGAAAAUGCGGAUUGAGCAGUAGGAUGUGUAAAAUAUGCGAGUUCAGGUUUGUCCACUCCUUCAAAGAGCUAGCUUUUCUCAGGUUUGUCUUAGGCGCUAGUAAAAGUUUGUUUAUAAGAAAUGAUAUGUUAGUGAAAUUAUACAAUUCCAUCCUUAAAGAAAAAUAAUUCUCUCUCUCCUCUCUUGAAACAUAUUUCAAAUGGGAAGUUCAUGUGGAUUCAUUUUAAUGAUAAAAUGAAAAGGCUUCAAAUAUACCGAAAGUUCUGGCCCUCUUGGUAAUUCAUCUGUAAAUCUGAAAUUUUCACUUUGUUGGAUUUAUCUGUGACAAUUGUCUAUUCAUUGGGCAUCUCAUUAAAUUACUGAAGUGAGAGAUAACUUUGCUCUAUUGUCUCGGAAAUUAUUGGUAUGUAAAAAGCCAAAAAGGCCUAAUUGUAUCACAGAUUUUAUAACGAAAUUAUGAAGAGAAACCAGAAAAACGGUUGUAUAGGGCGGGCCAGAACUGCCAGACUUUUUAGGACAGCCGCUCUAAACCUAAACCAAAUGUAGACAUUUAUAAUUAAAUUAUAUCUCACUUUAAUGUGUAAUCAGGUUUCUUCUCUUGAAAGCUGAAACAUCAACAUGACACCAAUUAUAUUCCUACUCUUUUUGCUUAAUUCUAAUAAUUAUAUUUUACAUAUGAUUACAUGAGACCUACAAUUUAAAUUUUAAUUGAAGAAAGAAAGUUUUUUUUUUUUUUUGCAAUGUAAUUAUUGAUUUCUUUCUGAAUUUAUUUUACAAAACUAAUCUAUUUACAAUGUAUUAAAAAAAACUGAUUUUUUAAAAAAGAAACUUCUAAAAUGAUACGGAGUAGGCAUUGGGAAAAUCUCAGAUGCAGAAAGGCGUUGGGUAAAGUUCAUAUUGAAUUUUUUGCGUCUCACCCCUCAGUAUUCAAACUCGAAUGGUUAGUUAAAUAAAAAAUCUUGACAAUCACCUAUGGGAUAUAAAAUUUAUUGAAUCUUUCAUAUUAAUUUUGUAUUAGUGCAACCCUUGUGUUUGGAUUUCAAAAAGAUAUUUUAAAUGUUUUGAAAAGAAAUUAAUUGUCCCAGGGCUCCAAACGGUCUCCUGUUUUUUCCGAUGGCAUUGCAUUCGCCCGCGGGGAGGUGCAUGCAAAAACUUGGGUCAAAAUUUCAAGACCUCAAGGGCAUGAUUGUGGGCCUUCAAAUCCUUUACAAUAUGAUAUGAUAAGGGUGGGUCGAGAUAUUUCAGCUCUCAUCAUUUUUAUAAAUUCACCUUUUAGAAAAAAAAUUUAAUAAGUUCACACGCGCCUUCCCACGGGCAACGUGAUGCCACCAGAAAAAAGGAGAGUCAUUUUGGGGCUCUGAAAUAGUUUUGGUAGAAUUUUUUCCAAAAUUCUAAGAAAAAUCCAAUAUUUUUUGCCUAAUUUUGAAAUAAAUUCUCAAAAAAAACUCUCUGAGGGGAGGCCCAUGAAAAAGACCCAAAAUUGGUGUGCUAUAACCUUUGGCUUACGGGUUCGAGAUGAGAAGUUGGGUUUUUCUCCAAAAGUAACUCGGUUUUUCUCUUCUGGGACAUUUCUUAGACCGUUGGGGGUGCUCCAAGUCGAUGCCUC